AUCCUAAGGUUCCGCACGCUCACUUUCACCUACAACUGGCCCGUUUCAAACAAUUGAAACCGCGUAGUUCCCCGUCCGAACUGGAAUAAACUGCGCAAUACUUAUUGGCACGGCUUUCCCGAAACACCGGUUAGAUG
This is a non-coding RNA of Caenorhabditis elegans, 137 nucleotides long. Lineage: Eukaryota; Metazoa; Nematoda; Chromadorea; Rhabditida; Rhabditidae. The record is from Ensembl.